UACGGAGGGGGCUAGCGUUGUUCGGAAUUACUGGGCGUAAAGCGCACGUAGGCGGCUUUGUAAGUUAGAGGUGAAAGCCCGGGGCUCAACUCCGGAAUUGCCUUUAAGACUGCAUCGCUAGAAUUGUGGAGAGGUAAGUGGAAUUCCGAGUGUAGAGGUGAAAUUCGUAGAUAUUGGGAAGAACACCGGUGGCGAAGGCGGCUCUCUGGACCGAUACUGACGCUGAGGCGCGAAAAGCGUUGGGGGAGCAAACAGG
Molecule: ribosomal RNA, 256 nt
Filed under: uncultured bacterium
Lineage: Bacteria
Description: partial 16S ribosomal RNA
Rfam family: Bacterial small subunit ribosomal RNA
Source: RNAcentral